Molecule: RNA transcript, 2994 nt
Organism: Ictalurus punctatus (channel catfish)
Lineage: Eukaryota; Metazoa; Chordata; Actinopteri; Siluriformes; Ictaluridae
Gene name: TBC1 domain family member 10A
Exons: 15
Source: RefSeq, a predicted model, not a curated record
CGAGCGCGAGAAGUCGAAGGUAGGAGCAGAAAGCGGUGUUAGUGUUAGUUCUGGCCCGUUUAGACCCAAACUAAAGUGUAUCAGUAUGAAGCAGGCGGUGACGGCGCACUGAUUCACUCUCGGAGCUCGGUUCACUAAUGACCGAAUCACCGAGGAACCGACCAAAGAUAACUCACACCCGCACGGAGAAGAAGAACAAGAGGAGGAGAAGAUGAGCUGGAGUGGGGCAAAGAGAACUGCAUUCAGAUCAAACGGAUACAAGAGAGGUGGCCGAGUUGUUUGAGGAUCUGAAGAAUUGAGUGUCACAAUUCAACAUGCACAUCAGCGAAACUUCUCCCUCUGACUACACCAGCACCCACGCACAGAAAUUCAUAGUGCAGGUGGUGAUUGCAGGCGCAUUUUAUCCGAACUGCUUCCUCCAGGGAACUGUGGACGAGGAGCUCGCCUCCAAGGAACUCUAUGGAAACGACCCCAGGACCACCAUAGUGGUGUGUAAUCUCCCUCCAUUUGCAUUCCUCUACUAUAAACAGCUCCAGUCUCUCUUCAGACACUGUGGUUAAAUCAAAUCCAUCUCCUUUGACAGCUCCAGGGCCUAUGUAGAGUUCUACCGCUCGUAAAUGAGAGGUUCUGGCGUUCUCCCAGAGGUCUCUCUGUCUCUCCUCCUCGCGCAGCAGAGACUUCCUCUCCAUCUCAACGUUUAACCCGCUGGAGAGGUGGAGACUUGGGCAGGGGGGUAGUGUAUCUCACACCUCAGAUAUACACGGGUGAAUGUGGAUUUUCAGAAUCAGUCAGUGAGCCCUGUCAGGGUUCUGAGCAGCUCCAUUGAGUUGGAGAAUCUUCCGUCUAACCCUGUCUUUAUCGUCAAUAUCACCGAGGUGUCUGUUCCGCCUCUCACUUUCAGUGCACAAAUAAAAAAAAGCAGUGGCUCCUGUGUGUGUGUGUGUGUGUGUGUGUGUGUGUGUGUGUGUGUGUGUGUGUGUGCGCACUAACAGGAGGUCCAGGUGCAGCCUUUGGAUAUUGAUGAAGAUUUACUGCCCCUGCAAGACCUUCCUCAACUGCGUAGUCUGGAGCAAAGGAUGCAACAGAGCCCAGAUUACAAGCAAAAUCUGGUAAACUGGUUGGCGCUUAUUGACGGGGUGUAUGUGCGUGACUGCACCUGGCGCAUAUUGAAGAGGGUGAUUGCUAACUCCCUGGCAAAGAAUCUCAAUUGGAGGGGAGUCAAUGGAAAGACUUCACUGUCCGCUCUCCAACUCGGAGAGGUCGUGAUUGCUGCAGUUCAUAGAAACCUCCUCACGGCUAAAGCUGCAGAGAUGGAGGUCGAGGGGACCAUGAAGAGGCGGCUCCAGCUGGCAUCAGAUCGAGAGUGUGGGCGCAAGAGCAGACUUUUGAUAAAGGAGGCGUGUCGGCCUUGGAGAUGAGAAUCACGCCAACUCGGAACGAUCCCCUCUCUUUGUGCAGUUCAUCGACUGUGUGUGGCAGAUGAUGAGACAGGUGAAACCCAGGGCUCAAACCAAGAGAAGACAUUCAGAGCUAUUCAUUCUUUAAAGUCAAUUUAACAAGUUUCCUUCUGCUUCUGAGUUCAAAGAGCUUUUUCUCAUCCCCAUCCUGGAGCGCCCCUACAGCUGCCUGUUUGGUACAUUCCUCUACAGCAGUGAGCAGGAGAGAAUGGAAAAGGAAGUACAGGGUAAAACGGUCACUGUGGUCCGACAUUAACAGUCAGCCGGAGGACUUCACUAACCCGUUCUAUGUGGACUGUAAAAACCAGGUGCUGUAUCCACUGGCCAGUCUCGCACAUCUGGAGCUCUGGGUGGGUUAUUAUGUGCGCUGGAACCCACGCAUGAGACCACAGAUGCCGCUCCAUCAGAAUCUGAGAGAGUUAUUGUUUUUGCGUGAAGAACGUGGAGGAGCUCCAGAGAGAGGCCACGUCAUCCUGUUCCAUCUCCUCAUCCUCAGAGCAUACUUCUCCCUCCUCACAUAGUGGUACACCACUUCACACUGCCGUCUAAAUACACACGCGCACACACACACAUACAUACAUUUAAGAGCACACACUGUCUUUACUCAAUGAAUACACUCAGGCACAAGUAGGGAGUGGAUGAGUAUGAAGCAGGCACACACACACACACACACACACACACACACACACACAUUCCUGUUUGCAAUUUUUUUAACUAUAGAGAAGUAACCUAGUGUCACAUUUUAUAAAUCCUUAAUACUUAAAAAUGGAUCUUGGAUCAAUGAGGUUUUCUACUGUUCUCAAGGUUUGGCAUGCUGUGCAUCCUGAGAUGCUUUUCUGCUCACCAUGUAUGUAAAGAGAGGUUAUUUGAUGUUACCAUGGCCGUCCUAUUAACUUGACCCAGUCUGGCCAUUCUCCUUUCGCCAACAACGUGUUUCCACCCCGAGAACUGCCACUUACCGGAUGUUUUUCAGACAAGUGUGUGUGUGUGUGUGUGUGUGUGUGUGUGUGUGUGUGUGUGUGUGUGUGUGUGGAAAUCCUAGGAGAGCCGCAGUUUCUGGAAUACUCAAACCAGACCAUUUAGAAUCUACAACCAUGCCACGGAUAAAAUCACUGGAUUACAUUCUGGUGUUUCAUGUGAAUAUUGACUGAAGCUCUUCAUCUGAUCCUGCUUGAUGUUGUACAUUGUGGUGUUGCCAUAUGAUUGGCUGAUUUGGAUAAUUGUAUGAAUGAGCACAUGUACAAGUGAUCAGUGAGCACAUCCAUCUACCAUAGAGGUAUUUUGGGGCAAUACUUGACAAUGUACCUGGCUUUGUUAGAUUUGUGGCCAAGUUGAAGAAGCUUUUGACAGCCGAAUGGAAAAAAAUUAAUAAAACAAUUCAAGACAAAUUCACUUUCAGUCUUGUUUUUUGUUUUGUUUUUUUCCCCCUUCAUGUUAAUCUCUUUCUACAGAACCCGUCCAAACUUCAUACGUCAAUGCAGUAAGCAAGAUAAACUGUCUACAGAUAAAGAAUCUAAGCAUGCAUCUGUUUUCACCC